CUUAAUCUUUUAUGUCAUUGUUUGAGCUAGGAAUUAGGCUUUAUUUGUAUGUGUGGAUACAAAAAGGCUAUGAAAAUAGUUCAGGCAGGAGUUGUAGACACAGAGAUGCGGAUUAAGAGUUGGAAAAUAUACAAAAGAUUGUUUAAAUACGAAAAGGGAAAGCCGAAAAUUCAGGUAUCGUCUAAGCCAGCUCUCCAUUGCUCCACAGCAGAGCUCUAACAGCAAGUUCUGCAUUACAUGGUCCAAAAUAUUAACUAAAAGACCUUAAGAUUUAUCCCAAGUGUGGCUGGUUCAUUAGCCUGUCCUAAGCGGUUGAAAUAAGAAGUCACUCCUAUCAGUUUUGAGUACAAAUCCAGAUUACAUGUCUCUAAUGAAAUCUUUAAGGCCAACCCACGAUAUUGAAAACCAGAUGAAGAAUGCCAUUUGAUAAAACUCGAGAUUAUCCCCUACAACGAGCUUCUGCCAAUGGAGAAGUCAAUCUCGUAAAGGUAAUAUAAGCAUCAGUUACUGUAAGUUCUUGAUAUCUUGAAUGACCACGUGAGCUGCAUUACGUCCGGGAGCACCCAUUACCCCUCCACCUGGAUGGGCCCCGCUCCCGCACAGAUACAAACCUCAUACUGGAGUCCUAUAAUUUGAUCUGCAUCCGAUAUCAAAAAUAAAAUUACUGUAUUACAGUGACAAAAGCAAAUAUUCAAGCAAGAAUAAGAGUGUUGCUUCGUGGACAGGGAUGGGGACAGGGUUUGGGACACGGGCGCCA
Molecule: long non-coding RNA, 757 nt
Filed under: Olea europaea subsp. europaea
Lineage: Eukaryota; Viridiplantae; Streptophyta; Magnoliopsida; Lamiales; Oleaceae
Source: RNAcentral